UGGGGAAUAUUGGGCAAUGGGCGCAAGCCUGACCCAGCCACGCCGCGUGAGUGAUGAAGGCCUUCGGGUCGUAAAGCUCUGUGGGGAGGGAAGAAAAAACGUUGGCCAAUAUCCAACGGACUGACGGUACCUCCUUAGCAAGCACCGGCUAACUCCGUGCCAGCAGCCGCGGUAAUACGGAGGGUGCAAACGUUGCUCGGAAUCAUUGGGCGUAAAGCGUACGUAGGCGGUCCAGCAAGUCGGGUGUGAAAUCCCUGGGCUUAACCGAGGAAGUGCAAACGAAACUACUGGACUUGAGUACUGAAGAGGGUCGCGGAAUUCCCGGUGUAGAGGUGAAAUUCGUAGAUAUCGGGAGGAACACCAGUGGCGAAGGCGGCGACCUGGGCAGAUACUGACGCUGAGGUACGAAAGCGUGGGGAGCAAACAG
Molecule: ribosomal RNA, 427 nt
Filed under: uncultured bacterium
Lineage: Bacteria
Description: bacterial SSU rRNA
Rfam family: Bacterial small subunit ribosomal RNA
Source: RNAcentral